GGCAAGCCAUGGGACUGGAAGGCAGCAGGCAGAUGUCAGGGUUGGGGAUUACUGGCUCAGAAGCAGGAAAUCUCAUGUAGAAGCCCAGAACUUUCAAGAGAUAAGAAGUAGAGAGAUUCUGGUUUAAAGAGAGAUGACAGAAGCCCUGAAUGUCCUCUCUUCUGCUCCCCCAGAUACCUUCAUGGACUACAGGGCUGUACAUACGGUUAGACUCCUUGGCCUCAAUAUGAAUGUCUAAAGACUCCAAGCAUCCUAACUCCAAUUAGAAAUCCAGUAGCAAUGUAUUACCAUGCAGUUGUCUAAAACCUUAAAAAAAAAAAAGCUAUUUAAAUUGUCCAUCUUUUCACACUUUUGGUUAUAGAGUCCACUGUUUACUAGCCCCAUUUGGAAGUA
This 393-nucleotide long non-coding RNA is filed under the name Pan troglodytes (chimpanzee). Its description in RNAcentral is "long non-coding RNA NONPTRT002311". Lineage: Eukaryota; Metazoa; Chordata; Mammalia; Primates; Hominidae. The record is from RNAcentral.